This 274-nucleotide ribosomal RNA is filed under the name uncultured bacterium. RNAcentral describes it as "partial 16S ribosomal RNA". It matches the Rfam family "Bacterial small subunit ribosomal RNA", at positions 523 to 796 of the family's 1533-position model. The record is from RNAcentral.
AUACGGAGGGUGCAAGCGUUAUUCGGAAUCACUGGGCGUAAAGGACGCGUAGGCGGGUUGGCAAGUCAGAUGUGAAAUCCUACAGCUUCACUGUAGAACUGCAUUUGAAACUGCUAAACUAGAGUAUGGGAGGGGGAGAUGGAAUUAGUGGUGUAGGGGUAAAAUCCGUAGAUAUCACUAGGAAUACCGAAAGCGAAGGCGAUCUCCUGGAACAUAACUGACGCUAAGGCGUGAAAGCGUGGGGAGCAAACAGGAUUAGAAACCCUAGUAGUCC